This 556-nucleotide long non-coding RNA is filed under the name Ananas comosus (pineapple). Its description in RNAcentral is "long non-coding RNA (ACOM_LNC026161)". The record is from RNAcentral. Lineage: Eukaryota; Viridiplantae; Streptophyta; Magnoliopsida; Poales; Bromeliaceae.
UUAACACCCUCACAAUACACUAUUCACAUCAGUUUAGCAAAUACAAACUGACGUUUUUCGCCAGAGCCCUUCUGAAUGUCCGUUUGAGCUCAAAUUUGACAGUUAGGCUUGAUUUCACUUAACUUAACAAAAGAAAUUUUAAUCUUUCAGUUUCGACCCCGUUUGGUCACCGAAAGCUCUACCGAACUGUAAUCUCUAGCAGAUAGCAGUCGAAUUUGAUUUUUCACCUUCCGGGUGUCAGAAUGACAUGAAACUUUAAAUCUAGCCUUAUAAAAAUAAUUCUAACAUAUUCUCUAGUUUUCAUAAUUUUCUGACACUGUGCAUUUUCUGCUAAAAUAUCACUCCCGUUUCACACAGAAAAUUCUAAAUCUUCUAUUUUCGUUCCGAUUUCAGCACAAGUCAUUUCUGACUUAUAUUUUACAUCCCUGAAUCCAAUAAAAAUAGUAUCUCACACUAUUUUUAUUUAUUUUUACUUUUAUACCAAAAUCUGGUAUGUUACAGUUGCAAUGCUCAUAUGACCCUUAACUAUAAGGUUGUUAUGUCAUAAUGUCAACUU